RNAcentral lists this microRNA precursor (88 nucleotides) under Danio rerio (zebrafish). RNAcentral describes it as "microRNA dre-mir-29b precursor (dre-mir-29b-2)". Its record names the gene dre-mir-29b-2. The stretch from base 10 to 79 matches the Rfam family "mir-29 microRNA precursor family". Rfam says of the family: This family represents the microRNA (miRNA) precursors mir-29. Animal miRNAs are transcribed as ~70nt precursors and subsequently processed by the Dicer enzyme to give a ~22nt product. Lineage: Eukaryota; Metazoa; Chordata; Actinopteri; Cypriniformes; Danionidae. The record is from miRBase by way of RNAcentral.
UCUUCCUCCAGAUGCUGGUUUCACAUGGUGGUUUAGAUGUGUUCUACCAAAGUCUAGCACCAUUUGAAAUCAGUGUUCUUGGGGAGGG